CCUCAUUCUCUGUGUUAUGAAUUGGGUACCAUCAAAGGUGAAGUCCCCCUUUUGAAUAAGAAAUUAUUCCUCCUAAACUCCAGUGACUAAACACUAUCUAACUGGAAGAAAAUCUCAAAAUAGAAAACAGAAAGAGAAAGAACUGGGAAACGGAAAUAAUUCACUGUAGCUUUUUUUGAUCUUAGACCUUCUAGGAAAAACCAGCCCCAUGGGACCAGUGAGAUUCAGAAUUUCACACAUCCCUUUCAUUCUCCUGGAGUAGCUAAGCCUGGAAUCACCACCUGAUGUGUCCAACUCCAUACCUAUGCCUGCUUGGAAUUACCAGGCUUGCAAAAUGGUAUUGGAAAUACAGAAGCUUUGCCUGCUGUUGUAUCACCUAUGCUGGAACUUCCUCGUGGAUCUGUUUUCUCCUUUGAUGUCUCCAACUCAGUCACCAGAUGGACGAGGGGCACUGCCAGCUGCCUGGGAAGGCUGUCACUGCUGAGGUUGGCACCCCAUGAGCUGCACAGGUAACCCAUCACAUUUAUACUUCUUGUUUCAAAUUGAAAGAAUUUGCUUUAAAUUGGAGGCUCAAGAAUGAUCCUCUUUGCUUCC
RNAcentral lists this long non-coding RNA (594 nucleotides) under Phasianus colchicus (ring-necked pheasant). RNAcentral's name for it is "lncRNA (ENSPCLG00000002207.1)". Lineage: Eukaryota; Metazoa; Chordata; Aves; Galliformes; Phasianidae. The record is from RNAcentral.